Long non-coding RNA from Pan troglodytes (chimpanzee), 1045 nucleotides. RefSeq lists it as uncharacterized. The transcript has 3 exons. The record is from RefSeq and is a predicted model, not a curated record. Lineage: Eukaryota; Metazoa; Chordata; Mammalia; Primates; Hominidae.
UGCUAGCAGCCUGUACGCUCUGGGCAACACUGCCAGAUUCCUGAGUAAAGGUACCAACCGCAGAAGCUAUCAACUACAAAUGACAGAACCCAUGAUGUAUGUCAGGACUUCAGUGCCCAGAGGGGCCAGUAGGCUGCAUACCCAGUUACAGAGGGCCAGGACUAUUAACAGCUGGACUUCGACCAAGGAACACACAGGGGAGAGAGCCUUUCUUUGAAGAGUGGGAGGUAAACAGAAGCAGAGGCUAAAAAGAACAGGCCGAGUGCUCUUAAAGGUUGCACACAAUCUAAGGAAAUGUUGAUACCAGUUGAAGACAUGAGAGAUGAAAUUCUACAUAAAUACCUUGGAGUAUUUGUAUUUAAAAGAGUCAUCCUCUUUAAUUAACGUCUCUUUGUAGGUAGGUUGUUAUAGCACAGUAUAGAUAAGCAAUCUCUGGACUUUCCAAGGUCAUUAUGAACAAAGACAAGAUAGUGGCUGGCCAUGAAGAAACUGGAUAUCUGAUUCUCAGCCACCUUUGAAUCAUGUGAAUCUGAAUGCAGAAAAAGAAUCAAGAUCAUAACACUAAGUCUCCCACACAUUAUUGGGAUAAUAAGUAGUUGGAAAGUUGUAAAGAAAGUUUCUUCUUCUAGGCCUCAAAGCUUUUAGAAAAAAUGCAGGUUGAGUACUCCUUAUUCUAAAUGCUUGAGACCAGAAGUGUUUUGAAUUCCUGAUUUUUUUCAGAUUUUAGGAUAUUUGCAUUAUACCAAUUGAACAUCCAAAAUCUGAAAAUCUGGAAUCUGAAAUGCUCCAAGGCUCCAAGGAGCAUUUCCUUUGAGCAUUAUGUUGGCACUCAAUAAGUUUUGGAUUUUGGAGCAUUUCAGAUUUUGGAUUUUCAGAUUUAGGAUGCUCAACUUGUAAUUGAAAAUAUUGGGUAACUUGCUUAACCUUGCUAAGACCCAUUUCUUUUUCUGUAAAAUCAGGCUGAUGAUGGAAACCUUAUUGAAUUCUGAUAAUCAGAAAUAAGCUAUCCUAUGUAGGUGUCCAAUAAAUGGUGGCUGAUUUUAUU